Molecule: ribosomal RNA, 538 nt
Filed under: uncultured bacterium
Lineage: Bacteria
Description: bacterial SSU rRNA
Rfam family: Bacterial small subunit ribosomal RNA
Source: RNAcentral
AGAGUUUGAUCCUGGCUCAGAACGAACGCUGGCGGCGUGCCUAACACAUGCAAGUCGAACGGAAUUAGAGAGCUUGCUCUUUAGUUUAGUGGCGCACGGGUGAGUAACACGUGGAUGACCUUCCCUGGAGUGGUGGAUAACCUGCCGAAAGGCGGGCUAAUACAGCAUAGGACCACGGCGCUUUGGCGAUGUGGUGAAAGCGGGCCUCUAUAUAUAAGCUCGCGCUCCGGGACGGGUCCGCGUCCCAUCAGCUAGUUGGUGAGGUAACGGCUCACCAAGGCAACGACGGGUAGCUGGUCUGAGAGGAUGGCCAGCCACACUGGAACUGAGACACGGUCCAGACUCCUACGGGAGGCAGCAGUGGGGAAUCUUGCGCAAUGGGCGAAAGCCUGACGCAGCGACGCCGCGUGGGCGAAGAAGGCCUUCGGGUUGUAAAGCCCUGUAGGGGAGAACGAACCUUACGGGGGCGAACACCCUCCGUGCCUGACGGUACUCCUUUAGCAAGCACCGGCUAACUCCGUGCCAGCAGCCGCGGUAA